Molecule: ribosomal RNA, 156 nt
Filed under: uncultured Glomus
Lineage: Eukaryota; Fungi; Glomeromycota; Glomeromycetes; Glomerales; Glomeraceae
Description: partial 18S ribosomal RNA
Rfam family: Eukaryotic small subunit ribosomal RNA
Source: RNAcentral
AGCAGCCGCGGUAAUUCCAGCUCCAAUAGCGUAUAUUAAAGUUGUUGCAGUUAAAAAGCUCGUAGUUGAAUUUCGGGGUUAGUAGGUUGGUCAUGCCUCUGGUAUGUACUGGUCUCACUGAUUCCUCCUUCCUGAUGAACCUUAAUGCCUAUUUUA